GACGAACGCUGGCGGCGUGCCUAAUACAUGCAAGUCGAGCGAGCGGAACCAACAGAUUUACUUCGGUAAUGACGUUGGGAAAGCGAGCGGCGGAUGGGUGAGUAACACGUGGGGAACCUGCCCCUAAGUCUGGGAUACCAUUUGGAAACAGGUGCUAAUACCGGAUAAUAAAGCAGAUCGCAUGAUCAGCUUUUGAAAGGCGGCGUAAGCUGUCGCUAAGGGAUGGCCCCGCGGUGCAUUAGCUAGUUGGUAAGGUAACGGCUUACCAAGGCGACGAUGCAUAGCCGAGUUGAGAGACUGAUCGGCCACAUUGGGACUGAGACACGGCCCAAACUCCUACGGGAGGCAGCAGUAGGGAAUCUUCCACAAUGGACGCAAGUCUGAUGGAGCAACGCCGCGUGAGUGAAGAAGGUUUUCGGAUCGUAAAGCUCUGUUGUUGGUGAAGAAGGAUAGAGGUAGUAACUGGCCUUUAUUGACGGUAAUCAACCUAGAAAGUCACGGCUAAC
RNAcentral lists this ribosomal RNA (506 nucleotides) under uncultured bacterium. Its description in RNAcentral is "bacterial SSU rRNA". It matches the Rfam family "Bacterial small subunit ribosomal RNA", at positions 28 to 501 of the family's 1533-position model. The record is from RNAcentral.